CCUGCCAGUGACACAUGUUUAACGGCCGCGGUAUCCUAACCGUGCGAAGGUAGCGUAAUCACUUGUUCUUUAAAUGAGGACUAGUAUGAACGGCACCACGAAGGUUAUACUGUCUCCUUUCUCCAAUCAGUAAAACUAAUCUCCCCGUGAAGAAGCGAGGAUAAAUUUAUAAGACGAGAAGACCCUAUGGAGCUUUAAACUAACCAGCAUUUGCUAUAUACAAAUUUUAACUUUAGACAAUCUAGCCCUCUGACUGGUAAUUUUCGAUUGGGGUGAUCACGGAACAAAAAAUAACCUCCGUGUCGAAAGGAUAAACCUGAGCAAAAAGCGACAGCUUUCCGCACUAAAAAAUUAAUGACCCAAUAUUUUGAUCAACGAACCAAGUUACCCUAGGGAUAACAGCGCAAUCUACUUCAAGAGUCCCUAUCGACAAGUAGGUUUACGACCUCGAUGUUGGAUCAGGGUACCCCAGUGGUGCAGCCGCUACUAAAGGUUCGUUUGUUCAACGAUUAAUACCCUACGUGAUCUG
This 529-nucleotide ribosomal RNA is filed under the name Hypsiboas punctatus A. RNAcentral's name for it is "partial 16S ribosomal RNA". It matches the Rfam family "Bacterial large subunit ribosomal RNA", at positions 1858 to 2607 of the family's 2925-position model. Lineage: Eukaryota; Metazoa; Chordata; Amphibia; Anura; Hylidae. The record is from RNAcentral.